UACGGGGGGAGCAAGCGUUGUUCGGAUUUACUGGGCGUAAAGGGCGCGUAGGCGGCGCAACAAGUCACUUGUGAAAUCUCCGGGCUUAACUCGGAACGGUCAAGUGAUACUGUUGUGCUAGAGUGCGGAAGGGGCAACUGGAAUUCUCGGUGUAGCGGUGAAAUGCGUAGAUAUCGAGAGGAACACCGGUGGCGAAGGCGGCUAUCUGGACAGUGACUGACGCUGAGACGCGAAAGCGUGGGUAGCAAACAGG
Molecule: ribosomal RNA, 253 nt
Filed under: uncultured bacterium
Lineage: Bacteria
Description: partial 16S ribosomal RNA
Rfam family: Bacterial small subunit ribosomal RNA
Source: RNAcentral